AAAAGGGAAUGGAAUUCCAGGUGUAGCGGUGAAAUGCGUAGAUAUCUGGAGGAACAUCAGUGGCGAAGGCGACUCCCUGGCCAAAGACUGACGCUCAUGUGCGAAAGUGUGGGUAGCGAACAGGAUUAGAUACCCUGGUAGUCCACACCGUAAACGCUGUCUACUAGCUGUUUGUGGCUUUAAGCCGUGAGUAGCGAAACUAACGCGAUAAGUAGACCGCCUGGGGAGUACGGCCGCAAGGUUAAAACUCAAAUGAAUUGACGGGGGCCCGCACAAGCGGUGGAGCAUGUGGGUUUAAUUCGAUGCAACGCGAAGAAACCUUACCUACACUUGACAUGUUUAGAAGUUACCAGAGAUGGUUUCGUGCCCUUCGGGAACUCAAACACAGGUGCUGCAUGGCUGUCGUCAGCUC
Molecule: ribosomal RNA, 412 nt
Filed under: Alteromonas stellipolaris
Lineage: Bacteria; Pseudomonadati; Pseudomonadota; Gammaproteobacteria; Alteromonadales; Alteromonadaceae
Description: bacterial SSU rRNA
Rfam family: Bacterial small subunit ribosomal RNA
Source: RNAcentral